GAAAUGCGAUAAGUAAUGUGAAUUGCAGAAUUCAGUGAAUCAUCGAAUCUUUGAACGCACAUUGCGCCCGCCAGUAUUCUGGCGGGCAUGCCUGUUCGAGCGUCAUUUCAACCAUCAAGCCCCCGGGCUUGUGUUGGGGACCUGCGGCUGCCCGCAGGCCCUGAAAACCAGUGGCGGGCUCGCUGUCACACCGAGCGUAGUAGCAAUCACCUCGCUCAGGGCGUGCUGCGGGUUCCGGCCGUUAAAAAGCCUUACAAACCCAAGGUUGACCUCGGAUCAGGUAGGAAGACCCGCUGAACUUAAGC
RNAcentral lists this unclassified non-coding RNA (305 nucleotides) under plant metagenome. Its description in RNAcentral is "partial contains 5.8S ribosomal RNA, internal transcribed spacer 2, and large subunit ribosomal RNA". The stretch from base 1 to 105 matches the Rfam family "5.8S ribosomal RNA", at positions 50 to 154 of the family's 154-position model. The record is from RNAcentral.